Molecule: non-coding RNA, 23 nt
Filed under: Cricetulus griseus (Chinese hamster)
Lineage: Eukaryota; Metazoa; Chordata; Mammalia; Rodentia; Cricetidae
Source: RNAcentral
UGCUAAGGGCUGCGGAAAUGAGU